RNAcentral lists this RNase P RNA (382 nucleotides) under Caryophanon tenue. Its description in RNAcentral is "Bacterial RNase P class B". It matches the Rfam family "Bacterial RNase P class B". From Rfam's summary of the family: Ribonuclease P (RNase P) is a ubiquitous endoribonuclease, found in archaea, bacteria and eukarya as well as chloroplasts and mitochondria. Its best characterised activity is the generation of mature 5'-ends of tRNAs by cleaving the 5'-leader elements of precursor-tRNAs. The record is from Rfam by way of RNAcentral. Lineage: Bacteria; Bacillati; Bacillota; Bacilli; Caryophanales; Caryophanaceae.
AAAUUUGAGUAAUCGCUGCGUCUGAAAAAUGGCGUAGAGGAAAGUCCAUGCUCACACGGAUCUGAGAUGACCGUAGUGUUCGUGCUUACUGAAUCAAUAAGGUAAGGUAGCUUAGCGGCUAACGGCAGAAGGAAAACCUAAGUCUUUUAGAUAUGGUUGAAACUUCUUGAAAGUGCCACAGUGACGGAGCUUAUAAGGAAACUUAUGAGGUGGAACGAGGUAAACCCCACGAGUGAGAAACCCAAAUUAUGGUAGGGGCAUUCUUCUGAAGGAAUUGAACAGAUGAAGAGACGCACAUAGUUGCGUAGAUAGAUGAUUACUGCUCAUGGUACGAGGUUUUAUAACUGUUUGAGUACCCGAGAACAAAACAUGGCUUAUAAAA